Molecule: ribosomal RNA, 472 nt
Filed under: uncultured bacterium
Lineage: Bacteria
Description: bacterial SSU rRNA
Rfam family: Bacterial small subunit ribosomal RNA
Source: RNAcentral
UCGGGAAUUUUGGGCAAUGGGCGAAAGCCUGAUCCAGCCAUGCCGCGUGUGUGAAGAAGGUCUUCGGAUUGUAAAGCACUUUAAGUUGGGAGGAAGGGCAUUUACCUAAUACGUAAGUGUUUUGACGUUACCGACAGAAUAAGCACCGGCUAACUCUGUGCCAGCAGCCGCGGUAAUACAGAGGGUGCAAGCGUUAAUCGGAAUUACUGGGCGUAAAGCGCGCGUAGGUGGUUUGUUAAGUUGGAUGUGAAAUCCCCGGGCUCAACCUGGGAACUGCAUUCAAAACUGACAAGCUAGAGUAUGGUAGAGGGUGGUGGAAUUUCCUGUGUAGCGGUGAAAUGCGUAGAUAUAGGAAGGAACACCAGUGGCGAAGGCGACCACCUGGACUGAUACUGACACUGAGGUGCGAAAGCGUGGGGAGCAAACAGGAUUAGAUACCCCAGUAGUCCCUGAGCGGGCUGGCAAGGCGCAU